GGCGAUGGCGGCAGUCUACCAUGCAAGUCGAGCGGUAACAGAUCCAGCUUGCUGGAUGCUGACGAGCGGCGGACGGGUGAGUAAUGCAUAGGAAUCUGCCCGAUAGUGGGGGAUAACCUGGGGAAACCCAGGCUAAUACCGCAUACGUCCUACGGGAGAAAGGGGGCUUCGGCUCCCGCUAUCGGAUGAGCCUAUGUCGGAUUAGCUAGUUGGUGAGGUAAUGGCUCACCAAGGCCACGAUCCGUAGCUGGUCUGAGAGGAUGAUCAGCCACAUCGGGACUGAGACACGGCCCGAACUCCUACGGGAGGCAGCAGUGGGGAAUAUUGGACAAUGGGGGGAACCCUGAUCCAGCCAUGCCGCGUGUGUGAAGAAGGCCCUCGGGUUGUAAAGCACUUUCAGCGAGGAAGAACGCCUAUCGGUUAAUACCCGCUAGGAAAGACAUCACUCGCAGAAGAAGCACCGGCUAACUCCGUGCCAGCAGCCGCGGUAAUACGGAGGGUGCAAGCGUUAAUCGGAAUUACUGGGCGUAAAGCGCGCGUAGGUGGCUUGAUAAGCCGGUUGUGAAAGCCCCGGGCUCAACCUGGGAACGGCAUCCGGAACUGUCAAGCUAGAGUGCAGGAGAGGAAGGUAGAAUUCCCGGUGUAGCGGUGAAAUGCGUAGAGAUCGGGAGGAAUACCAGUGGCGAAGGCGGCCUUCUGGACUGACACUGACACUGAGGUGCGAAAGCGUGGGUAGCAAACAGGAUUAGAUACCUUGGUAGUCAA
This 765-nucleotide ribosomal RNA is filed under the name Vreelandella aquamarina. Its description in RNAcentral is "bacterial SSU rRNA". It matches the Rfam family "Bacterial small subunit ribosomal RNA", at positions 32 to 797 of the family's 1533-position model. Lineage: Bacteria; Pseudomonadati; Pseudomonadota; Gammaproteobacteria; Oceanospirillales; Halomonadaceae. The record is from RNAcentral.